GUCUUUUUGGUAUUUAAUAUAAAGUCUGACCUGCCCACUGAAUAUUGUUUGAAGGGCCGCAGUAUUUUGACUGUGCAAAGGUAGCAUAAUCAUUAGUCUUUUAAUUGAAGGCUGGUAUGAAUGGUUGGAUGAGAUACAAGCUGUGUCAUAAAAAUUAAUAUUUGAAUUUACCUUUUUAGUCAAAAGGCUAAAAUAAUCUUAAAAGACGAGAAGACCCUAUAGAGCUUUAUAUAAUUAAUAUUUAAAUUAUUAAGAUUUUUAAAGUUUAAUUAUUAAAUUGUAUUUUGUUGGGGUGACAAUAAAAUUUAUAAAACUUUUAUUUUUAUUUAACAUUAAUUUAUGAAUCUAUGAUCCAGUUUUAUUGAUUAUAAAUUUAAGUUACCUUAGGGAUAACAGCGUAAUUUUUUUUGAGAGUUCUUAUCGACAAAAAAGAUUGCGACCUCGAUGUUGGAUUAAGAGUAAUUUUGGGUGUAGAAGUUCAAAGUUUAAGUCUGUUCGACUUUUAAAUUCUUACAU
RNAcentral lists this ribosomal RNA (516 nucleotides) under Simulium caudisclerum. RNAcentral describes it as "partial 16S ribosomal RNA". It matches the Rfam family "Bacterial large subunit ribosomal RNA", at positions 1825 to 2601 of the family's 2925-position model. The record is from RNAcentral. Lineage: Eukaryota; Metazoa; Arthropoda; Insecta; Diptera; Simuliidae.